Molecule: ribosomal RNA, 2565 nt
Filed under: Drosophila melanogaster (fruit fly)
Lineage: Eukaryota; Metazoa; Arthropoda; Insecta; Diptera; Drosophilidae
Description: eukaryotic LSU rRNA
Rfam family: Eukaryotic large subunit ribosomal RNA (bases 572-2565)
Source: RNAcentral
ACUCUAAGCGGUGGAUCACUCGGCUCAUGGGUCGAUGAAGAACGCAGCAAACUGUGCGUCAUCGUGUGAACUGCAGGACACAUGAACAUCGACAUUUUGAACGCAUAUCGCAGUCCAUGCUGUUAUGUACUUUAAUUAAUUUUAAGUGCUGCUUGGACUACAUAUGGUUGAGGGUUGUAAGACUAUGCUAAUUAAGUUGCUUAUAAAUUUUUAUAAGCAUAUGGUAUAUUAUUGGAUAAAUAUAAUAAUUUUUAUUCAUAAUAUUAAAAAAUAAAUGAAAAACAUUAUCUCACAUUUGAAUGUGAAAAACGAAGAGAAAUAUUUUCUUUUUCAAUCAAAUAAUACUGAGAAAUGUCUAGCAUAAAAAAUUGAAAUAUUUUUCAUCUAGAAUUGUCUCUUAUUAAUGAUUCGGAAAUAGAAAAAUCUUGGUUAUGUUAUUAUUCUUCGUUGGUUCGUUAAAAAUGGAUAAAUAAAAACUUUGCAUACAAGAAUUAAUAAAAAUGUUAUAACGAAUUUAAUUAAAUGUUUUAUCAUUAUAUAUAAAGAAUUUAUGGCAAGAUAAAGUUAUAUACAACCUCAACUCAUAUGGGACUACCCCCUGAAUUUAAGCAUAUUAAUUAGGGGAGGAAAAGAAACUAACAAGGAUUUUCUUAGUAGCGGCGAGCGAAAAGAAAACAGUUCAGCACUAAGUCACUUUGUCUAUAUGGCAAAUGUGAGAUGCAGUGUAUGGAGCGUCAAUAUUCUAGUAUGAGAAAUUAACGAUUUAAGUCCUUCUUAAAUGAGGCCAUUUACCCAUAGAGGGUGCCAGGCCCGUAUAACGUUAAUGAUUACUAGAUGAUGUUUCCAAAGAGUCGUGUUGCUUGAUAGUGCAGCACUAAGUGGGUGGUAAACUCCAUCUAAAACUAAAUAUAACCAUGAGACCGAUAGUAAACAAGUACCGUGAGGGAAAGUUGAAAAGAACUCUGAAUAGAGAGUUAAACAGUACGUGAAACUGCUUAGAGGUUAAGCCCGAUGAACCUGAAUAUCCGUUAUGGAAAAUUCAUCAUUAAAAUUGUAAUAUUUAAAUAAUAUUAUGAGAAUAGUGUGCAUUUUUCCAUAUAAGGACAUUGUAAUCUAUUAGCAUAUACCAAAUUUAUCAUAAAAUAUAACUUAUAGUUUAUUCCAAUUAAAUUGCUUGCAUUUUAACACAGAAUAAAUGUUAUUAAUUUGAUAAAGUGCUGAUAGAUUUAUAUGAUUACAGUGCGUUAAUUUUUCGGAAUUAUAUAAUGGCAUAAUUAUCAUUGAUUUUUGUGUUUAUUAUAUGCACUUGUAUGAUUAACAAUGCGAAAGAUUCAGGAUACCUUCGGACCCGUCUUGAAACACGGACCAAGGAGUCUAACAUAUGUGCAAGUUAUUGGGAUAUAAACCUAAUAGCGUAAUUAACUUGACUAAUAAUGGGAUUAGUUUUUUAGCUAUUUAUAGCUAAUUAACACAAUCCCGGGGCGUUCUAUAUAGUUAUGUAUAAUGUAUAUUUAUAUUAUUUAUGCCUCUAACUGGAACGUACCUUGAGCAUAUAUGCUGUGACCCGAAAGAUGGUGAACUAUACUUGAUCAGGUUGAAGUCAGGGGAAACCUGAUGGAAGACCGAAAAGUUCUGACGUGCAAAUCGAUUGUCAGAAUUGAGUAUAGGGGCGAAAGACCAAUCGAACCAUCUAGUAGCUGGUUCCUUCCGAAGUUUCCCUCAGGAUAGCUGGUGCAUUUUAAUAUUAUAUAAAAUAAUCUUAUCUGGUAAAGCGAAUGAUUAGAGGCCUUAGGGUCGAAACGAUCUUAACCUAUUCUCAAACUUUAAAUGGGUAAGAACCUUAACUUUCUUGAUAUGAAGUUCAAGGUUAUGAUAUAAUGUGCCCAGUGGGCCACUUUUGGUAAGCAGAACUGGCGCUGUGGAUGAACCAAACGUAAUGUUACGGUGCCCAAAUUAACAACUCAUGCAGAUACCAUGAAAGGCGUUGGUUGCUUAAAACAGCAGGACGGUGAUCAUGGAAGUCGAAAUCCGCUAAGGAGUGUGUAACAACUCACCUGCCGAAGCAACUAGCCCUUAAAAUGGAUGGCGCUUAAGUUGUAUACCUAUACAUUACCGCUAAAGUAGAUGAUUUAUAUUACUUGUGAUAUAAAUUUUGAAACUUUAGUGAGUAGGAAGGUACAAUGGUAUGCGUAGAAGUGUUUGGCGUAAGCCUGCAUGGAGCUGCCAUUGGUACAGAUCUUGGUGGUAGUAGCAAAUAAUCGAAUGAGACCUUGGAGGACUGAAGUGGAGAAGGUUUCGUGUGAACAGUGGUUGAUCACGAGUUAGUCGGUCCUAAGUUCAAGGCGAAAGCCGAAAAUUUUCAAGUAAAACAAAAUGCCUAACUAUAUAAACAAAGCGAAUUAUAAUACACUUGAAUAAUUUUGAACGAAAGGGAAUACGGUUCCAAUUCCGUAACCUGUUGAGUAUCCGUUUGUUAUUAAAUAUGGGCCUCGUGCUCAUCCUGGCAAGGAACGACACAUAAAGAAGCGUCGAGAGAUAUCGAAGAGUUUUCUUUUCUGUUUUUAU